RNAcentral lists this ribosomal RNA (415 nucleotides) under uncultured crenarchaeote. RNAcentral describes it as "partial 16S ribosomal RNA". It matches the Rfam family "Archaeal small subunit ribosomal RNA", at positions 330 to 747 of the family's 1478-position model. Lineage: Archaea; Thermoproteati; Thermoproteota. The record is from RNAcentral.
GUGCACCAGUCGCGAAAACUCCGCAAUGCGCGUAAGCGUGACGGGGUCAUCCCGAGUGCCGUCCGCUGAGGAUGGCUUUUCUCCGGUCUAACCAGCCGGAGGAAUAAGGGGAGGGCAAGUCUGGUGUCAGCCGCCGCGGUAAUACCAGCUCCCCGAGUGGUUGGGACGAUUAUUGGGCUUAAAGCGUCCGUAGCCGGCUCAGCAAGUCUCCCGUUAAAUCCAACGAUUCAAUCGUUGGACUGCGGGAGAUACUGUUGAGCUAGGAGGCGGGAGAGGCCGACGGUAUUCCCGGAGUAGGGGUGAAAUCUUAUAAUUCCGGGAGGACCACCAGUGGCGAAGGCUGUCGGCUAGAACGCGCUCGACGGUGAGGGACGAAAGCUGGGGGAGCGAACCGGAUUAGAUACCCGGGUAGUCC